AGUGAACGCUGGCGGCAGGCCUAAUACAUGCAGGUCGAACGGCCGCACAGUAAGAGUUCGCUUUUACGGGUGGCGAGUGGCGGAUGGGUGAGGAAUACAUCGCCAUCUAAUUUUUCGUGGGGGAUAACGUAGGGCAGCUUAUGCUAAUACCUAAUACGAUGUACCGCAGAAAGCAGUGGUGAUACGCACUUUGCCCGACUGUAUUAGCCGAUGCCGCAUUAGCUAGUUUGUAGGGUAAAGGCACACCAAGGCGACGAUGCGUAGCUGAUCUGAGAGGGUGAUCAGCCACACUGGAACUGAGACACGGUCCAGACUCCUACGGGAGGCAGCAGUAGGGAAUAUUGGGCAAUGGGCGAAAGCCUGAUGCAGCCAUACCGCGUGAGUGAUGAAGGUCUUCGGGUUGUAAAGCCCUUUUGUUGGGAAAGAAAAAAUACAUGUGAAUACCCCGCUGUUCUGACGGUACCCAAUGAAUAAGCACCGGCUAACUUCGUG
RNAcentral lists this ribosomal RNA (492 nucleotides) under uncultured bacterium. RNAcentral's name for it is "partial 16S ribosomal RNA". It matches the Rfam family "Bacterial small subunit ribosomal RNA", at positions 29 to 507 of the family's 1533-position model. The record is from RNAcentral.